RNAcentral lists this ribosomal RNA (455 nucleotides) under uncultured bacterium. RNAcentral's name for it is "bacterial SSU rRNA". It matches the Rfam family "Bacterial small subunit ribosomal RNA", at positions 346 to 793 of the family's 1533-position model. The record is from RNAcentral.
AGGCAGCAGUGGGGAAUAUUGGACAAUGGGCGCAAGCCUGAUCCAGCCACGCCGCGUGAGUGAUGAAGGCCUUCGGGUUGUAAAGCUCUGUGGGGAGAGGCGAAAACAGUCAGCAAGAAACGGCUGAUUCUUGACGGUAUCUCCUUAGCAAGCACCGGCUAACUCUGUGCCAGCAGCCGCGGUAAUACAGAGGGUGCGAACGUUGCUCGGAAUUACUGGGCGUAAAGCGCGUGUAGGCGGACCGGUAAGUCAGAUGUGAAAUCCCUGGGCUCAACCCAGGAACUGCAUUUGAAACUGCUGGUCUAGAGUAUCGGAGAGGGUGGCGGAAUUCCUGGUGUAGAGGUGAAAUUCGUAGAUAUCAGGAGGAACACCGGUGGCGAAGGCGGCCACCUGGACGGUCACUGACGCUGAGACGCGAAAGCGUGGGGAGCAAACAGGAUUAGAUACCCUGGUAG